Molecule: unclassified non-coding RNA, 348 nt
Filed under: soil metagenome
Description: partial contains 5.8S ribosomal RNA, internal transcribed spacer 2, and large subunit ribosomal RNA
Rfam family: 5.8S ribosomal RNA (bases 1-120)
Source: RNAcentral
GAUGAAGAACGCAGCGAAAUGCGAUAAGUAAUGUGAAUUGCAGAAUUCAGUGAAUCAUCGAAUCUUUGAACGCACAUUGCGCCCGCCAGUAUUCUGGCGGGCAUGCCUGUCUGAACGUCAUUUCAACCCUCAUGCCCCUAGGGCGUGGUGUUGGGGAUCGGCCAAAGCCCGCGAGGGACGGCCGGCCCCUAAAUCUAGUGGCGGACCCGUCGUGGCCUCCUCUGCGAAGUAGUGAUAUUCCGCAUCGGAGAGCGAUGAGCCCCUGCCGUUAAACCCCCAACUUUCCAAGGUUGACCUCAGAUCAGGUAGGAAUACCCGCUGAACUUAAGCAUAUCAAUAAGCGGAGGA